Long non-coding RNA from Beta vulgaris subsp. vulgaris (sugar beet), 890 nucleotides. RefSeq lists it as uncharacterized. The transcript has 3 exons. The record is from RefSeq and is a predicted model, not a curated record. Lineage: Eukaryota; Viridiplantae; Streptophyta; Magnoliopsida; Caryophyllales; Amaranthaceae.
CAAUAUGAAACAUGUACAUUGCUAAUCAAUAUUUUGUCUUUCUCUCUCUCUCAGGUGGUCUCCUGAGUCCUGCCCCUGUGCUUUGGGCCUUGCCACGCCCACGGCAAUCCUAGUUGGCACUUCUAUUGGAGAAAGGCAAGGACUUCUCUUGAGAGGAGGUGAUGUGCUGGAACGCUUGGCUGGCAUAAAUUAUAUGGCCUUUGACAAGACAGGAACUCUUACAGAAGGAAAACCUACUGUCUGCCGUGGCUUCGUUGGCUUAUGAUAUUUCAGAAAUUCUCCAGCUUGCUGCUGCUGUAGAGAAAACAACAUCACAUCCUCUUGCAAAUGCUAUCUUGAGUAAAGCAGAGUCAUGUGGUUUGCAGAUUCCAACCACAAGUAGACAAUUAACAGAGCCAGGUUUUGGAACCUUAGCUGAAGUAGAUGGACGUUUGGUUGCAGUAGGUUCUUUGGAAUGGGUUUGUCAACGUUUUGAAAGGAAGAACCAAUCAGAUAUAGAACAUUUGGAGCGUGCCUUGAUGCUUGAGUCAGCCAAACCAACUUCAUCAUUGGAUAAAUCGGAAACGGUGGUUUAUGUUGGACGUGAAGAAGAGGGUGUCAUUGGUGCUAUUGCAAUCUCUGAUGCCUUAAUGCUGAGGCUACUGUAGCAACGUAGGUAAAUUUCUCUUUGAAGUCAUUUAUUAGAUGGAUGCAUGCUAUGCAUAAGACUUACGAAUUGUAAACUAAUUUUUACUCUGCGACUUCUGUAAUUCUGUUGUGCAUACAGUCAUUCAUUGUUGUGCAAUGUGCAUACAGAGUCCAAAAUGUGGGAGCAUGUUUUCUUUGAUUUGAACUUGUAAACUGCAACUUUAGGUUGAUAGUACCAAGAUCUGUUAAAAUCUGGUUCCCAG